UACAGAGGUCUCAAGCGUUGUUCGGAUUCAUUGGGCGUAAAGGGUGCGUAGGCGGGUCUUUAAGUCAGGGGGGAAAUCCUGGAGCUCAACUCCAGAACUGCCUUUGAUACUGAAGAUCUUGAGUUCGGGAGAGGUGAGUGGAACUGCGAGUGUAGAGGUGAAAUUCGUAGAUAUUCGCAAGAACACCAGUGGCGAAGGCGGCUCACUGGCCCGAUACUGACGCUGAGGCACGAAAGCGUGGGGAGCAAACAGG
RNAcentral lists this ribosomal RNA (253 nucleotides) under uncultured bacterium. Its description in RNAcentral is "partial 16S ribosomal RNA". It matches the Rfam family "Bacterial small subunit ribosomal RNA", at positions 524 to 776 of the family's 1533-position model. The record is from RNAcentral.